Molecule: ribosomal RNA, 303 nt
Filed under: Halipeurus attenuatus
Lineage: Eukaryota; Metazoa; Arthropoda; Insecta; Psocodea; Philopteridae
Description: partial 12S ribosomal RNA
Source: RNAcentral
GGCGGCUUAUUAACUAAAUAGAAAAACAUGUUUUUUAAUGGAUAAUACACAAAUAUCUUAUCUAAUAUAGUAUAAACAUUUGGUACACCGCCGUCGGAAGAACAGUUUUAAAGAAUUGUUCUAUGUCCCUGUAAGGAAUUAAGUCAGGUCAAAGCGCCGAUUAUUGUUAGGUUAAAAUGUGUUUCAUUAUUAUUAUUAUGUCUUUAAAUUUCAUUUUUGGAAUUUGAAACUUAAUUUGAAGUAAAUGAAUCUAUAAGUAAAUUUUGUUCAUAAAACUUAAUUGAAUAGUGCUCUUAUAAGUGU